CCUUCUCCUCUCUCGUUUUCUUUUUCGGGAGGAUAACAAUAUGCAGCAUUGCCUGAUCAAACAAACAGUGCCUAAAAAUUGAAUCUUUUAAAAGCAUAUUCAUCCACAAAUAGCAACGAAUCGGUUCUCAUUUACAAAGCUUCAAAAAAUUCAGAUUAACGAUUUUUUUUUUCCACACAACACCACCAUGAACGAAACCCAAAGUUACAUCAUUUAGAUCAUUAAUAUAUAAUCAAGCAAAAUGGUAAUAAAUAAAUUGAAAGCAUGUAUGAAUGCGGACAUAUUAUAGACCCAAAUAGCAGAGAAAGUGAACGAACCUGGUACAAAAACCACACAAUUCGCCCUGAGAUCCAACGGUUGCAAAAUUCCGACCAGAAAAUCAGCCGUCGGGAUACAAUCGGCGUAUAUAUUAUGUAAUCACUGUCAACAACUACACUGAAGACCUAAUUACAUAAUCCCUUGUUGCGGAAAGAAUUAAUAAAAACAAAAUAAGAAAUCGGCGUGGAAAUAGCAAAAUUGAAGAAUUACAGCUUAAUUAAUGAUGAUUUUAAUGGUCUCUCUCUCUCUCUCUGAAUAAAGUUGGAAGGUGGUGUGGCAGAGUUGCCGGAGAGGGGGGCAAAAGGAGGUGGCGUGGGGAGUGGGGGGGUGGAUAGGGUUUUGGAGGGUGACACGUGAGGAGGAAAGUAGAAUCCAG
Molecule: long non-coding RNA, 694 nt
Filed under: Erythranthe guttata (spotted monkey flower)
Lineage: Eukaryota; Viridiplantae; Streptophyta; Magnoliopsida; Lamiales; Phrymaceae
Description: long non-coding RNA (EGUT_LNC002363)
Source: RNAcentral